This is a long non-coding RNA of Xiphias gladius (swordfish), 781 nucleotides long. RefSeq lists it as uncharacterized. The transcript is spliced from 3 exons. Lineage: Eukaryota; Metazoa; Chordata; Actinopteri; Istiophoriformes; Xiphiidae. The record is from RefSeq and is a predicted model, not a curated record.
GUUAAAUUUGUAUGAAAACCAAAGUGUAAAAACGAUAAGUUGCGGUUUUACAGGGGACUGUGUGCUGGACUCUGGUCUUGCACUCUGGUUUACAGGUGCUGGUAGGCAGAUUUUGUCACCGUAGGACAGACCCCCGGUAACUAAAGUAACAAGCUGCUGGCUGGCGCUUCAUACUUACCGUACAGACAGAACAAUGUUAUUGACCUUAUCUAACACUCCGCAAGAAAGCGAGUGACUGUAUUCAACUAUUUAACCUCUAAGAGAAUUGUACAUUUCUGAAGGUGAGGCCUAUGAGAAAUUGAUAUUGUUUUUCAUGCCCCAGAGUUUGAAUCGUUUGGUUUCAUAUAUCCAUUCGCUAGAAGGCCAGUUGAAGAAAUAAUUAAGUCUCUUCCUUCCUGCUGUGAUUUUUCAAGACUAAUACCUGAAAACUGUGUGCUUAACAAAUGAACGACGGUGAGCAAAUGGCUUACGAAAAUGUGUGGGUGUGUUUCAGAUCCGUGUGAAAGUGGAAAAGAAUCCAGAGCUAGGUUUCAGUAUAUCGGGAGGAGUGGGAGGCCGAGGAAACCCCUUUCGUCCAGAUGACAAUGGUAUAUUCGUGACAAGGGUCCAGGCUGAAGGACCGGCGUCCAAGAUUCUUCAGCCUGGAGAUAAAAUUAUCCAGGCAAAUGGAUACAGCUUUGUGAAUAUCGAUCAUGGGAAUGCAGUGUCCCUCCUGAAGACAUUUCCAAACACUGUGGAUUUGACUAUCAUAAGAGAAAUGCAAGCAUAGACUCAACUGAAA